This 64-nucleotide transfer RNA is filed under the name Chrysomeloidea sp. 8 KM-2017. RNAcentral's name for it is "tRNA-His". The record is from RNAcentral. Lineage: Eukaryota; Metazoa; Arthropoda; Insecta; Coleoptera.
ACUUAAGUAGUUUAUGUAAAAUUUUAAUUUGUGGGAUUAAUGAAGCUUUUGAGGGUCUUAAGUA